Molecule: ribosomal RNA, 253 nt
Filed under: uncultured prokaryote
Description: partial 16S ribosomal RNA
Rfam family: Bacterial small subunit ribosomal RNA
Source: RNAcentral
UACGUAGGGGGCGAGCGUUACCCGGAAUCACUGGGCGUAAAGGGAGCGUAGGUGGCCUAACAUGUCAACUGUGAAAACCCGGAGCUCAACUCCGGACUUGCAGUUGAACCUGGUAGGCUUGAGGACGGUAGAGGAAGACGGAACUGCCAGUGUAGGGGUAAAAUCCUUAGAUAUUGGCAGGAACGCCGGUGACGAAGGUGGUUUUCUGGGCCGGUUCUGACACUGAUGCUCGAAAGCCAGGGGAGCGAACGGG